UUUAACGUUAACUUCGAGAUUAUUUUCUAACAAACUUUCCAAGAAUCUCAUUAUUUUUGUUGUUUCUCUGCUUAAAAAGAGUUUGGCAGCGCGCCUAAAAGCGUGUUUAGCUAUUGCGAAACAUUUGCAGAGAUGCUCAACCCACAAGACUUUCAGGCACUAAUUAAACGAUUAACUCAAGUGGAGCUUCAAUGGUCGCAACUUAAUUUACCGCAAACAACCGACGACAACAACAACAAUUGCAACAGUAUCUGUAUCUGUGCCCGCAACCGUAUCCAUUGCAGCUGUCCGAAAGAAGUUGCAAAAGUUUUCCAAGUGAAAUAUCAGUGGAAGAGCGCGUGUGAGUGAGUGAAUGAGGGAUGGGUGGAGCGGACGGGUGAGUGCAUCGCGCCGCAUGCACUUUGCACCCUGGCAACGGGGGCCAACUUGGGGGUGGAACUUGGCCAGCACUUUCGCUGGCUGGUAAAAGCCAACUAAGAAACCCGGUCACGUUAUGCACAUUUCGCUGCACUUGCGCCAGGACAGCGAGGAGCAUGAAAAACAAUAAGCGAACUGGGAGCCGGCUCGCCCGCAAAAAGGACAACGUGCACGUACAAAGGC
Molecule: non-coding RNA, 600 nt
Organism: Drosophila virilis
Lineage: Eukaryota; Metazoa; Arthropoda; Insecta; Diptera; Drosophilidae
Source: RefSeq, a predicted model, not a curated record